Non-coding RNA from Candidatus Gottesmanbacteria bacterium RBG_13_45_10, 72 nucleotides. NCBI's taxonomy places the organism in Bacteria, Candidatus Gottesmaniibacteriota. The record is from Rfam.
GGCGCAAUGGCGAAGAGGAAACGCGGGUGUCUGCAAAACACCUAUGCGAGGGUUCGAUUCCCUCUUGCGCCU